ACUAAUGAAUCAGUAAACUCAAAAGUCAUGUGACCCAUUUGACCCAAUUAAGAAUUCGUUUCUCGGAAUUCAAGGCGAACGAUCCAUUAAAGUUAAUGAGUAAGAAUUACGUAUUGCGGUAUAAGGUACCGAAGAGGACAACGAGAUGGAUUAGUGUGAGGACGUAUCACUUAAAGCAAGGUUACUCAGUUUAAUAAGUGAGCUUCACUAGUUAAUUAUGUACUAAAACUCUAGCUUUAAAUUCUAAGAAUUAUUAUGGUUUGUAU
Molecule: long non-coding RNA, 266 nt
Organism: Spinacia oleracea (spinach)
Lineage: Eukaryota; Viridiplantae; Streptophyta; Magnoliopsida; Caryophyllales; Amaranthaceae
Exons: 3
Source: RefSeq, a predicted model, not a curated record